AAGCUCAAAUUUGAAAUCUGAGGCUCUCCAGCCCCCGAGUUGUAAUUUGAAGAUGGUGUUCUGGUGCCGGCGCCCUGUCUACGUUCCUUGGAACAGGACAUCGCAGAGGGUGAGAAUCCCGUGUGGCGGGGCGGCCUGGCUCCGUGUAGAGCGCCAUCGACGAGUCGAGUUGUUUGGGAAUGCAGCUCUAAGUGGGUGGUAAAUUCCAUCUAAAGCUAAAUAUUGGCGAGAGACCGAUAGCGAACAAGUACAGUGAUGGAAAGAUGAAAAGAACUUUGAAAAGAGAGUGAAAAAGUACGUGAAAUUGUUGAAAGGGAAGGGUAUUGGAUCAGACUUGGUGCUGUGCGAAUAGCGGCUCUUCCUGGGCCGCCCCACUCGCACUCCACCGGGCCAGCAUCGGUUUGGGCGGCAAGACAAUGGCGGGGGAACGUGGCACUGCUCUCGGGCAGUGUGUUUAUAGCCCCCGCUGAUGUUGCCUGCCUAGACCGAGGACUGCGGCUUCUGCCUAGGAUGCUGGCGUAAUGAUCCAACACCGCCCGU
Molecule: ribosomal RNA, 540 nt
Filed under: Williopsis jadinii
Lineage: Eukaryota; Fungi; Ascomycota; Saccharomycetes; Phaffomycetales; Wickerhamomycetaceae
Description: Cyberlindnera jadinii partial large subunit ribosomal RNA
Rfam family: Eukaryotic large subunit ribosomal RNA
Source: RNAcentral